RNAcentral lists this long non-coding RNA (219 nucleotides) under Trifolium pratense (red clover). RNAcentral's name for it is "long non-coding RNA (TPRA_LNC010048)". The record is from RNAcentral. Lineage: Eukaryota; Viridiplantae; Streptophyta; Magnoliopsida; Fabales; Fabaceae.
GGGUGCUGCCGUUCAGGACAUCAUGGCUGCGCUGGUGAACGCAAUCAAUCGCCAGUCAGACCUUAUCCUACAGCAGAACCAGCGAUUCGGGCAGCAAAGUCAAAGGCUCAAACAACAAAGCCGUCGCAUCGACGCAAUUGCUGAAUCAAGGGUAACGGCGCAAGCUCGCCCAGCUCGCCGUUCACCCACACCUGUGAGGAGCAGAACCUACUCCAGGUC